CCUACGGGAGGCAGCAGUGAGGAAUAUUGGUCAAUGGGCGAGAGCCUGAACCAGCCAAGUCGCGUGAGGGAGUACUGCCCUAUGGGUUGUAAACCUCUUUUGUCGGGGAGCAAAAGCCGGACGUGUCCGGCUGUGAGAGUACCCGAAGAAAAAGCAUCGGCUAACUCCGUGCCAGCAGCCGCGGUAAUACGGAGGAUGCGAGCGUUAUCCGGAUUUAUUGGGUUUAAAGGGUGCGUAGGCGGAUUUUUAAGUCAGCGGUAAAAUCGUGGGGCUCAACCCCAUCCAGCCGUUGAAACUGGGGAUCUAGAGUGUGCGAGAGGUAUGCGGAAUGCGUGGUGUAGCGGUGAAAUGCAUAGAUAGCACGCAGAACCCCGAUUGCGAAGGCAGCAUACCGGUGCACAACUGACGCUCAGGCACGAAAGCGUGGGUAUCGAACAGGAUUAGAUACCCCGGUAGUC
Molecule: ribosomal RNA, 458 nt
Filed under: uncultured bacterium
Lineage: Bacteria
Description: partial 16S ribosomal RNA
Rfam family: Bacterial small subunit ribosomal RNA
Source: RNAcentral